RNAcentral lists this ribosomal RNA (253 nucleotides) under uncultured bacterium. RNAcentral describes it as "partial 16S ribosomal RNA". It matches the Rfam family "Bacterial small subunit ribosomal RNA", at positions 524 to 776 of the family's 1533-position model. The record is from RNAcentral.
UACGUAGGGGGCAAGCGUUGUCCGGAUUUAUUGGGCGUAAAGAGCGUGUAGGCGGCUUUACAGUUCCGUUGUGAAAACUCGAGGCUCAACCUCGAGACGCCGGUGGAAACCGUAAAGCUAGAGUCCUGAAGAGGAGAGUGGAAUUCCUGGUGUAGCGGUGAAAUGCGCAGAUAUCAGGAAGAACACCCGUGGCGAAGGCGGCUCUCUGGGACGGUACUGACGCUGAGACGCGAAAGCGUGGGGAGCGAACAGG